Molecule: ribosomal RNA, 434 nt
Filed under: uncultured bacterium
Lineage: Bacteria
Description: partial 16S ribosomal RNA
Rfam family: Bacterial small subunit ribosomal RNA
Source: RNAcentral
AGCGAACGCUGGCGGCAGGCCUAACACAUGCAAGUCGAACGAACCUUUCGGGGUUAGUGGCGGACGGGUGAGUAACACGUGGGAACGUGCCUUUAGGUUCGGAAUAACUCAGGGAAACUUGUGCUAAUACCGAAUGUGCCCUUCGGGGGAAAGAUUAAUCGCCUUUAGAGCGGCCCGCGUCUGAUUAGCUAGUUGGUUGAGGUAAUGGCUCACCAAGGCGACGAUCAGUAGCUGGUCUGAGAGGAUGAUCAGCCACAUUGGGACUGAGACACGGCCCAAACUCCUACGGGAGGCAGCAGUGGGGAAUCUUGCGCAAUGGGCGAAAGCCUGACGCAUCCAUGCCGCGUGAAUGAUGAAGGUCUUAGGAUUGUAAAAGUCUUUCACCGGGGACGAUAAUGACGGUACCCGGAGAAGAAGCCCCGGCUAACUUCGUG